Molecule: ribosomal RNA, 400 nt
Filed under: phytoplankton environmental sample
Lineage: Eukaryota
Description: partial small subunit ribosomal RNA
Rfam family: Eukaryotic small subunit ribosomal RNA
Source: RNAcentral
AGCUCCAAUAGCGUAUAUUAAAGUUGUUGCAGUUAAAAAGCUCGUAGUUGGAUUUGGGACUGGAGUCGUUCGGUCGGCCGCAAGGUCUGUUACUGAACGGCUCUGUCAUCACAUUCCCAGAGACCUGCCGUGUACUUAACUGUGUGCGGUACGGGAUUUGGGACGUUUACUUUGAAAAAAUUAGAGUGUUCAAGGCAGGCGCUUCGCCUGAAUAAUGGUGCAUGGAAUAAUGGAAUAGGACCUCGGUUCUAUUUUGUUGGUUUUCGGAAGUUGAGGUAAUGAUUAAGAGGGACGGACGGGGGCAUUCGUAUUACGGUGUUAGAGGUGAAAUUCUUAGAUCGCCGUAAGACGGACUGCUGCGAAAGCGUUUGCCAAGCACGUUUUCAUUAAUCAAGAACGA